GGAUACAAAAAGUGCUCAGUUUAAAAGUUCCCAGUUUCUGGGGCUUCCAUUGAUGUGAUAUAUUUGAUAGUUCGUUUAAACACAUUUUUCAGGUAGAGAUGGACUUAGUACAUUGCACCCAGAUAUCCUGCAUCCCUGGUAGAUGUCUUAGAACCGUUAUGAUGGGCAGGAUUAAUUUCUCACCCAGGCUUGCAGCUUACAG
Non-coding RNA from Pelobates cultripes (western spadefoot toad), 202 nucleotides. NCBI's taxonomy places the organism in Eukaryota, Metazoa, Chordata, Amphibia, Anura, Pelobatidae. The record is from the annotation of a GenBank genome assembly.